AUUAUUAUUAUUAUUAUUAUAUUAAUCAUUUAUUUUAUUCCAUCAUGAUGAUCAGAAAAGACUUUGAGGAUUACAGAUUUCAUCCAGAAGAACAACAAUAAAACCAUCACAGCUCAGCCUGGACAGAAGAACGUCACUCUAACAUGUCGAGCUCCAAACAAUAAUAACAGCAUCAUCGGUGUAGAGUGGAGCAGAGCUGACCUUGGGACAGAAUAUGUGCUUUUGUACCGGGAUGAGCGGUUCGAUCCAGAAAACCAGCAUCCAACUUAUAAGAACCGGGUGGAUCUGAAGGACAGACAGAUGAAGGAUGGAGACGUGUCUUUGAUUCUGAAGGAUGUGAUGAUUAAUGAUAAUGGAACAUACGAGUGUCGUGUCUUCACGAGAGGAACAAACAUAAGGAAAAGAGCAAAUCUAAAUGGUGAUCCCAUCAGCAUCAUCACACUGAGAGUUGUUCCUCCAGGUCAGACAGGAGGAGACACAGGGGAUGGAUCUGUUGGACUGAUCGUCGGUCUGAGUGUUACUGCUGUGCUUGUUGCUGCUGUUGUUGGUUUUCUGGUCUACAGAAAACAAACAACAGCAGAGUCAGGAUUCAUACCAGCCUCCUGUUGAACUGCAGCAUGUUUGAAGAUGUAAGAGAUGCCUGUAUCACUAAGGCACAAAGCAGAGGUCUGACUUCAGAAACUAAAACAAUCACAUCCAUGUAGAAAACCAGAAGAGUUGCUUCAUUCCAAAGAGAUUUCACAGCAGAGACAAUGUUAAAGAAAAGCUAAUUGCUCCUCAAGUAAGAAAAAAUAACAGAUAAUCAAAAAGAAGAAAAAACGUGGAGAACAAGGUGCAGCAAAUUUAUCAACUGAAAAUGGGAAACUGCAAUUAUUUAAAUUGCAGGUUAUUUUAACCAUAAUUUGACAAUCCAAUUUAAGAUUUAAAAAAAAAAAUCAUAACCUCCAGCAUCUGUGGAAGAGUCCUAAGGAAUUAGACCCAAAAUGAUCCAAGAAGGAUCAAAGAAAUUUUAAUCAACAGGGUGUUUACAGUAGUAAAGAAGUUUACAGUAGAUGCUGCAUAAUGUUGAAAGAAUUACUAAAGCUGACACUGUUACUGUUAGCAUUGUUAACAACAUACAUUGUUAUGUUCCAACACUGAGCAUUUUUAGCUUCUGAUGUAUUGGACAAUUGUAAAUUAUUAUGAUUAGUAGUCAUGUUCAGUUUUGAUGACGUGUGUUAAAUGUUUCAAACACACACAGGUUUUCAUCAUUUGAUUGUAUGUUUGGUCUGAGGCAGCUAAAUUAGUCUGUAGAGAAAAAUGAAUGUCAGAUUUGUGUUUGUGAGCUUAGCCCUGCAUAUUUACAUUUCUGUGGAACA
Molecule: long non-coding RNA, 1358 nt
Organism: Oreochromis niloticus (Nile tilapia)
Lineage: Eukaryota; Metazoa; Chordata; Actinopteri; Cichliformes; Cichlidae
Exons: 3
Source: RefSeq, a predicted model, not a curated record